CGAGUGUUGGUGUAAACGCACGGCAGCUUUGGGAGCUGAUGGACAGGUCUCAAUCCUGACACUCGA
This 66-nucleotide transfer RNA is filed under the name Glottidia pyramidata. RNAcentral's name for it is "tRNA-Pro". Lineage: Eukaryota; Metazoa; Brachiopoda; Lingulata; Lingulida; Lingulidae. The record is from RNAcentral.